AGUGAACGCUGGCGGUAGGCUUAACACAUGCAAGUCGAACGGCAGCACAGUACGUUCUUGCUCUUACGGGUGGCGAGUGGCGGACGGGUGAGGUAUACAUCCUAAUCUACUUUUUCGUGUGGGUUAACGUAGGGAAACUUACGCUCAUACCGCAUACGCUCUACGGGUGAAAGCAGGGGAUCUUUUCACCUUGUGCGAUUGAAUGCGCCGAUGGCGGACUGGCUAGUUGGCGGGGUAAAGGCCCACCAAGGCGACGAUCCGUAGCUGGUCUGAGAGGAUGGUCAGCCACACGAGAACGGAAACACGGACCAGGCUCCUGAGGGAGGCAGCAGAGGGGAAUGUUAGACAGUAGGGGCAAACCUGAUACAGCCAUACCGCGUGGGAGAAGAAAACCUUCGGGUUGUAAAGACCUUUUGUUGGGAAAGAAAAGCAGCAGGUUAAUACGCCGCUGUUCUGACGGUACCGAGAGAAUAAGCACCGGCUAACUUCGUG
This 492-nucleotide ribosomal RNA is filed under the name uncultured bacterium. RNAcentral describes it as "partial 16S ribosomal RNA". It matches the Rfam family "Bacterial small subunit ribosomal RNA", at positions 29 to 507 of the family's 1533-position model. The record is from RNAcentral.